Unclassified non-coding RNA from Macaca fascicularis (crab-eating macaque), 148 nucleotides. It matches the Rfam family "Metazoan signal recognition particle RNA". Rfam says of the family: The signal recognition particle (SRP) is a universally conserved ribonucleoprotein. The record is from Ensembl. NCBI's taxonomy places the organism in Eukaryota, Metazoa, Chordata, Mammalia, Primates, Cercopithecidae.
GCUGGGCAUGGUGGCGCAUGCCUGUAAUCCCAGCUACUCGGGAGGCUGAGGCACGAGAAUUGCUUGAACCCGGGAGGCGGAGGUUGCAGUGAGCCAAGAUCGUGCCACUGCAUUCCAGCCUGGGCCACAGAGCAAGACUCUGUCUCAA